CUAGUUGGCGAGGUAACGGCUCACCAAGGCUUCGAUCGGUAACCGGCCUGAGAGGGCGAUCGGUCACACCGGAACUGAGACACGGUCCGGACUCCUACGGGAGGCAGCAGUGGGGAAUCUUGCGCAAUGGGCGAAAGCCUGACGCAGCAACGCCGCGUGGAGGAUGAAGGCCCUUGGGUUGUAAACUCCUGUCGGUUGGGAAGAAAUCUUGCGGGGCUCAUACCUCCGCAAGUUGACUGUACCAGCAAAGGAAGCCCCGGCUAACUCUGUGCCAGCAGCCGCGGUAAUACAGAGGGGGCCAGCGUUAUUCGGAAUUAUUGGGCGUAAAGGGCGCGUAGGCGGCCUUGCGUGUCUUUCGUGAAAUCCCUCGGCUUAACUGAGGACGUGCGGAAGAAACUGCAGGGCUUGAGUCCGGGAGAGGGGGGUGGAAUUCCCAGUGUAGCGGUGAAAUGCGUAGAUAUUGGGAGGAACACCGGUGGCGAAGGCGGCCCCCUGGACCGGUACUGACGCUGAGGCGCGAAAGCGUGGGUAGCAAACGGGAUUAGAUACCCCGGUAGUCCACGCCGUAAACGAUGGGCACUUGGUGUCGCGGGUAUCGACCCCUGCGGUGCCGAAGCUAACGCAUUAAGUGCCCCGCCUGGGGAGUACGGUCGCAAGGCUGAAACUCAAAGGAAUUGACG
This 680-nucleotide ribosomal RNA is filed under the name uncultured Acidobacteriota bacterium. RNAcentral describes it as "SSU rRNA". It matches the Rfam family "Bacterial small subunit ribosomal RNA", at positions 245 to 915 of the family's 1533-position model. The record is from RNAcentral. Lineage: Bacteria; Pseudomonadati; Acidobacteriota.